GUACUGCUGAGGUGUUCCAACUAGGACGAAACGGCCGUCCAGUGC
RNAcentral lists this non-coding RNA (45 nucleotides) under Schistosoma curassoni. The record is from RNAcentral. Lineage: Eukaryota; Metazoa; Platyhelminthes; Trematoda; Strigeidida; Schistosomatidae.